Non-coding RNA from Pelobates cultripes (western spadefoot toad), 224 nucleotides. Lineage: Eukaryota; Metazoa; Chordata; Amphibia; Anura; Pelobatidae. The record is from the annotation of a GenBank genome assembly.
CUAGCAACCUAUCGUUGCCUUUGAACAUGAUAAAUUGCUAGGUUGUAAAAAAUUAUAUAAAAAAUGUGAACUUCAAAGUUGAUUGCCAAGUGUAGAUAAUCAUUGGAUCAGAGUUAUGGAAGCAUUAUACCACUAAUCUAAGGCUGUGGGUAGCUUAUGACAGGUUAACUUUAAAUUACUAUCAGGAUAGUGCGUACUACAAAUAUGCAUAUCUUGGAUAAAGG